UACGUAGGGGGCAAGCGUUGACCGGAUUCAUUGGGCGUAAAGAGCGUGUAGGCGGCCAGGUAGGUCGGUUGUGAAAACUGGAGGCUCAACCUUCAGAGGUCGACCGAAACCAUCUGGCUAGAGUCCGGGAGAGGAGAGUGGAAUUCCUGGUGUAGCGGUGAAAUGCGCAGAUAUCAGGAAGAACACCCGUGGCGAAAGCGGCUCUCUGGAACGGUACUGACGCUGAGACGCGAAAGCGUGGGGAGCGAACAGG
RNAcentral lists this ribosomal RNA (253 nucleotides) under uncultured bacterium. RNAcentral describes it as "partial 16S ribosomal RNA". It matches the Rfam family "Bacterial small subunit ribosomal RNA", at positions 524 to 776 of the family's 1533-position model. The record is from RNAcentral.